Molecule: ribosomal RNA, 546 nt
Filed under: uncultured bacterium
Lineage: Bacteria
Description: bacterial SSU rRNA
Rfam family: Bacterial small subunit ribosomal RNA
Source: RNAcentral
AGAGUUUGAUCCUGGCUCAGGACGAACGCUGGCGGCGUGCCUAAUACAUGCAAGUCGAGCGAGCUGAACCAGCAGAUUCACUUCGGUGAUGACGCUGGGAACGCGAGCGGCGGAUGGGUGAGUAACACGUGGGUAACCUGCCCUAAAGUCUGGGAUACCACUUGGAAACAGGUGCUAAUACCGGAUAACAACAAUAGCUGCAUGGCUAUUGCUUAAAAGGCGGCGAAAGCUGUCGCUAAAGGAUGGACCCGCGGUGCAUUAGCUAGUUGGUAAGGUAAUGGCUUACCAAGGCGACGAUGCAUAGCCGAGUUGAGAGACUGAUCGGCCACAUUGGGACUGAGACACGGCCCAAACUCCUACGGGAGGCAGCAGUAGGGAAUCUUCCACAAUGGGCGAAAGCCUGAUGGAGCAACGCCGCGUGAGUGAAGAAGGUUUUCGGAUCGUAAAGCUCUGUUGUUGGUGAAGAAGGAUAGAGGUAGUAACUGGCCCCUAUUUGACGGUAAUCAACCAGAAAGUCACGGCUAACUACGUGCCAGCAGCCGCGGU